This 642-nucleotide ribosomal RNA is filed under the name Triticum aestivum (bread wheat). RNAcentral's name for it is "partial small subunit ribosomal RNA". Lineage: Eukaryota; Viridiplantae; Streptophyta; Magnoliopsida; Poales; Poaceae. The record is from RNAcentral.
AUGGAGCAAGGCUGUCGCGAAGCCGCCGUCGCGGGCAGAGAUCUGCAGAAGACGGGCGCGGAGACCGUGACAGAUAGCGUGGAGACCCUCGUCGGCGGCGCGGGUGUAGGAGCUGCUGCAUCCCCACGCGCUGGAUCGGUCGCUGCGGCGGUGGAUCUGGAGGAGAAGAAGGUGGUCGUGGCGGACUCCACCGUGGCGGACUCAGCCGUGCCGGUGCUUGGCGUGACGGCGUCGAGCGGCCCGUCUGAUGGACCUGCGGAGGCCGGCGGCGAGCACGUUGACCUGCAGAAGGAGGAUCUUGUUGGCAAGAAGAGGAAGUGGGACUCAUCUGGCUACUACCCUUAUGACAGUGAUGAGGAUGAGCCGUACGAGUAUCAAUCUGGAGAUGAUGUGGUCGAGGGGAACGUCGAGUCGUUUGAAGAGAAGGAGGUGCUGAAGAUUAGGGCCCAAGGAUCUGCUAGGUACUACAACUGGAGGUCUGACAAGUACCGGUGCCCCUACUACAGCAGGCCCAAGCCCAGGUCUGGGUUGCUGGAGCAUCAGAUGGAGCAUUGUCGGGCUACAUCCAUCAGCAUUCAUGACUACAAGAUCAGGGCUCAGCAUUCUGCCCUCCACAAGGUCUUGAGAAACCCUGACAUGUAG